GUCUAAACAAAUAAUCAUAUUAAAUAAUGUUAUUUAAAUUUAAAUACUUGAAUGUUCACUUAUUUUAAAAUUCUCCACAUAUAUUUUAGCUGUGACCUACCCUUUAUACCAUUCCUCUGGAAGAUUCCAGCAUUGUUGCCAGCUGAUAUACAGAAUGUUCACUUAUGAUGCAUGGAUGGAGUAACAAAUCCCAUUGAUGCUGAGGAUUGUACAACAGCGUGUCCUGACUUAGUAAGUGGCACCCAGGUGAGAUCCAGCACUGGGGGCACGACUGCAGCCUCUAUCCACAAGAUGCACGUGAGUGUUGGCACCAUCAGAUCUGCUUCGGAUCCCUGGGCAUCGGAAGGAUCCAGAGUACUGGCAGCAGCACUUUUCCCUUGGAGAUUGUGUCAGGGCGCUGGAAGUGGGGGCUGAGGCUGGACUGUUCGAGGUGAGGUAAGGCCAAAGGUAAUUUCAUCAGACACCAGUGGAGCUGGGGAUGGUUCUGUGGUCAGAUGCCUCUUCUCAAAUCGCCCUUCCCUCUCCCUUCAGUGUAUUUGAAGAAACUAAGAAAAAAAGCUUCCGAAGGGCUCUGAAGAGGAUGAUUUGGGCUUUUUUGAGAAAGCAUGUAACUACAGGUCUGUUCCCCGCCGAGGAAGAUGG
This 642-nucleotide long non-coding RNA is filed under the name Parus major (Great Tit). RNAcentral's name for it is "lncRNA (ENSPMJG00000014281.1)". Lineage: Eukaryota; Metazoa; Chordata; Aves; Passeriformes; Paridae. The record is from RNAcentral.